Long non-coding RNA from Aedes albopictus (Asian tiger mosquito), 4680 nucleotides. RefSeq lists it as uncharacterized. The record is from RefSeq and is a predicted model, not a curated record. Lineage: Eukaryota; Metazoa; Arthropoda; Insecta; Diptera; Culicidae. The transcript has 2 exons.
AAAUCAUUUUAUGAUUAACCCUAGACAUCCUGUUGAAAUUAAUCCAACUCGAGUUGCUUUGGAGAUUCACCAAGAUUUUAUUUUUGAAAUAUAGGAGUAUCUCCGUUUCUUCAGAAUUUCCUGCGGGAAUUCUUCCAAGAUUACUUUUUGAAAUCUCUCCAGAACAUUUUUCUGAUAUUUUUCCGGGGGUUCACUCUGGGGUUCCUCCAAAAUUUAUUUCUGGGAUUCCUUCAACAUUUUUUCUAGAAUUUCAUCAGAAGUUCUUUCUUGGAUUCUUUAAAGAGUUUCUUACGAUAUUUUUCACUGGAAUGUCCUUCAUCCAAAAAAUUCUUAUAAGGAUUCCUACAGGAAUUUGUUUUGGUAUUUAUGCGCAGUAGACUUCUACACCUACUGGAACUUUCAUGAGGAAUACUUCCAAGAGGAUUCUAUCUUUCAUCUUUGUUAUUUCCCCAUGAUUAGCAGGUGAACCAGCCUUGGGCUGACAAUCUCGUUAAAAAAGAAAAUAUAAUAAUCAUUCUCCCCGACUUCUUACUGCGUUUCCUAGGAAUAUCCCAGUAGUUUAGUCUAGUAAUCCUCCAGGAAUUCUUUCCUCAAACCCUCCAGAAAUUUCUUCAGGGAGUCCUCCUGAUGUUCUGUGUAGAAAUCUCCGGGGAGUUAUUCCUGAGAAUCCUCCAGAAUUUCCCAGUGGGAAACCUUGAGAAAUUCCUUCUAGGAAUCCAGUAUAAGUUCAGAAUUGAUGGGAUUUCUUUAGGAUUUUUUGGGAAUCCUUGGAUUCUUCUGGGCACCCUUCUGUAGUUGCUGGAGAAAUCCCCAGAUCGUUUGUCAAGUUCCUAGACUCCUCUAAACACUCAAAUUAAUUUACUGAUAGAAUCUAAGUGCAAAAAGCACAUAGAUCGCGAACGGAAGGGAAAAAAAUCAUUCUAAGUGCAACAAAUAAAAAUGAAAAGUUACUUCAUUAAAAUUUAAUUUAUCUGUAUUAAAUUUAGAGUGUAGCAACAUAAAAAGCAACCCUGUCAACAUAAAAUCCAAACACGAUCAUAACAAACGUGAAAAGGACAUGGCGCGUGCACGAGACGCACAGUUCGCCGCAGAAUAUUGCAGAAUUUCAUUUUUAAUCAUGGUGCUCUAAGAAAUUAAUUUGCUGACCAAGUUGCUGAAGAUUCAUCUGCGUCUCGACCGCUUCAGCACCGUCACCAAAGAUGAACGAUUUUGUUGGGAGCUGCCGGCAGUGUUGCGAAACUCAUGCUCACGAGUAAAAAAUACUCACUCACCUUACUCAUUUGCGAGUAAUGCUCACGCUGUGAGUUACUCGCGUAUGAGUAUACUCACGCGUGAGUAAUGACGUCAUACUCUCGCGUGAGUAUUACUCACUUGUGAGUAAUACUCACGCGAGAGUAUGACGUCAUUACUCACGCGUGAGUUACUCAUUUUACUCACGGUGAGUUUAGUGAGUAAGUUAUUUUUGUUGGUUUGAAAUGAUGUUUUCGUUUGUUCUGUACUGCAAUGGUGAUUAUAUACAAGGCACAGUUUUCGAGGAAAGGUGGAUCUGCUCGAGAGCUUUGGCACCAUAGGCUAAAAACUCUUAUUGUUUACCUACGCAUGCAAAGUAAUAUCAUCAAUUAGGAAAUCUCUAUAUUUCACCACACUUUAUUAAUGGUUUAACUUUUUUCGCAUACGUCGGGUCACUUUCUUCUUCUUCUUCUUCUUUAUGGCUCGACGUCCCCACUGGGACUUGGCCUGCCUCGCCUCAACUUAGUGUUCUUUAAGCACUUCCACAGUUAUUAAUUGAAGGGCUUUCUUUGCCUGCCGUUGCAUGAAUUUGUAUAUUGUGAGGCAAUUACAAUGAUACACUAUGCCCAGGGAGUCGAGAAAAUUUUCCCGACCGGAACGGGAAUCGAACCCGCCGUCUCCGGAUUGGCGAUCCAUAGCCUUAACCACUAGGCUAACAGGAGACCCGCAAUCACGCAAUCGGGUCACUUUACGGUAUUCAAAAGGUGUGUGGCUUAUAUUUACCUACCUUCAAAUUAAACAUGGUAGGGUCAAUUACAGCAUCUCCUAGGUCCAAACAUUUAAAACUUUUCUUUUCUGCAUACAUUUGAUCGUUUUUUCCCAUAUGGCUAGUUUCUAUUACUGUGCAAAAAGAUAGGGCAUAUAAUGGACAAAUAGUGGUUUCGCUUCAAAAUUACUUGAGUAGGCAAGUAAGGAAAAAAAGUUUUACACUGGUAACGCCUCCCUUGUAAUUCUAAAAGAGCUGUAGUUUUUUCUGCGCGGAAAAAUAGUCCGUUCUAUUAUUCCGUAAGGAAAAGUAACGUUUUUCCUCAUACUAAAUACUUGAUCAGUUUGUAAUUUAAAAUUUACAAAAAAUAGUAAAUUUACUUGAGUACUCAACUUUCGAACAUGAAACUUACACACUAAACGCAUCCAGCAAAGCAAAAACCAGCAAAACGAAUAGUUGAUUUUUAAGCAAUUUUUUGCUAGAAUCCGGUACAACUUUGUGCCCUAUCAGCACAAAUUGCUGGAUGUUUCAUAAAAAAGUUUUUAGACUUGAUAGAAUUGAAACAAAACUUUUGGAACUUAUGGGUGACAAAAGGAACAAAUUGCCGGGCCCGUAGCGUAGUGGCUACACGUUCACUUCAUAAGUGGAUGGUCAUGGGUUCGAUCCCAGCCCGGCACUUGCAAUUUUUCGUCAGUUGCUCUUCCCCCCGAGAGCAGCUGGCACCUGACCCUCUUCAGAGCAUAUGCUCCAACGGACCCGGACACCUGGAUAUCGGCUAACGGCAACUCAUAAUGGACCCCCAAUCGGACUGGAAAAGGAACAAGAGCCACACAUCAACAUCCUCGUGCUCAUCAUUCUACCACGAUAGUGUAGAAAGUGAAAGCAGCGCAACGGAAUCCAGUUCGAUCUAGUGGAAUUAUAAUAGAAUACAUUUAGGAGCUGUACAAAGUGUAAGUACAGCUUCCAAUUGGAAUCGCUCACGCAGUGCCCUAGUGGACAAAAGAGCUGUAAAUUAGGUAAAGUGAUUGAAGAAUAAAAAAAGGAACAAAUUCUGAAGGAAUCCCAUGAGCUUUUUCAAGUCUUAGUUGUUUUUCAUAUAAAGUUGGACCACCCUAAUUAUAUGAGCCUCGGACCUAAAAAGGAAAAAAAAACUGCCGAGCAAAUUACUACCAGUAACAUGGCCAGUAAUCACACCCAGGUAACCAAUAAGCAGCUGGCAUUAAUUCAGCACUAUAUGCGCCUUUGCAGCAGGUCUGCUGCUAUCGAACUGUCAAAUCCAAGGUCAAAUCGGCUACCAAUCGAGCACACCACACGAUUCCGUAAAAUUACUUUUUCUUAAUUGCCUAUCUCUGCCAACCCCCUGAAGAAAGCGUUAGUUCUUGAAGCCGGCUCGAACGGGCUCGUUUACGAAAUUUCAGCCUGCCUUUCAAUCUGCUACGUGCGCAAGCGAACUUUGUCGUACGAUUUAUCGUGCAUUUGAGAAACGAUCGUUUACACAUUUGUUCAAUGCGUUUAGUGUUCUUUAUUAAAUUUACAAGACGCACAAGCAUGCAAAUAAAUUUCGUCCAUUUAAAACAACGCUGAACUCAAUUAUAUGUGAAUGUCACGCCUGCACUAAGAGAAAAAAAUCACUGUUUUCAGCUUAGCCCAUUCAAAUCAGCACCACGUCCUGCACCAAAUUUUUAGCUUCACGCCAGUUAUAUGUGGAUGACAGCCAUUUCAGGGGAUUGAUCUCUGUCUACAAGAGGUUUGAGUUCAAACAAAAGCCCUCACGUUGAGCUGUUGGGCUCAAAGGGGACCUCUUCAGGACCGCCCUUAACGGAGCGCUUAGAACUACCAGUAAGAUACAAUUCACUAGAAUGAAAAAAAAAACAAUAGAAUUAUUGACAAGCAACCUUGUCUACUGAUUCAAUACAUUCGCCCCAAUAAAACAUACCAUUUUAAUGUUUGAUAGGAUUCCAAGCCUUUUGAUAAAUUUUAGAUUACCGUAUGAAUAUGAGUAAAACAUACCCGUGAGUGAGUAUCUGCACGUCAAUACGAGUGAGUGUGAGUUGUACAGCGCUUACUCAAAUGUGAGUAAUACUCACGGUGAGUUUAAGGUGUACUGCUCAUACUCACUCGUGAGUUUGACAAGUUGUGUGAGUACUCGCUCAUUUCGCAACACUGGCUGCCGGAUGGAGCUGCGACCGGGACGAGCUGUUUGACCAGCUUGGUGGAAGCUCAAUGUGAGGUAAUUUAGAUAACCUGCUAUUUGUUUUUAAUCAUUAAACAUUGAUAAAAAUUAUAAGGAUUCGAUUUGACCACUUUCACCAAAGUGGAAGACGACGCGGAGGCAUCGGAAAAGAGCCCGAGCACACCAAUAGAACCGACCCUGAUGCACUCGAUGCGUGCCUUCUAUCAAACCCGGAAUUGAGCGAUUCAACUAAAAACAAUCUUUUUGGCCCGUCGUAAAUGCAACUGUGACAACUGCAUGGACCGCGGCAUCAGCGGAGCUCCUUCCAUCAUCUUCGUCGGCCGUGGCAUCGGAAAACCCAGACCAUCAUUUGCGUUAGCUAGUGGCAUUUGCGGUGUGAAAUGUCCAGCUGUGAACAUUGCUCAUGCAGCAACAUUGUUUAGUCCACGUGGCCUGGAACUACUCCUGUGUACAAUAAAACAAUUAAUAAAACUUAUUUUUUUCAAUCAUA